Molecule: long non-coding RNA, 3635 nt
Filed under: Sus scrofa (pig)
Lineage: Eukaryota; Metazoa; Chordata; Mammalia; Artiodactyla; Suidae
Description: lncRNA (ENSSSCG00035009663.1)
Source: RNAcentral
AGGAGGACAUUUUUUUAAAAAUGUGGUUGUUUGAUUUUUCUGCUUUUAGUUGUUGACUGGAUAAUGACGCAUGUUCCUAAGCUUUGGGAUGGUGACUACAGGGGAUCCUGCUGCCAACCGUCUUAAGACAAAUAAGCCCUCCUGAUCCUUGGUCCAUCAGACACUGAGCAUCUAAGGCACGAAAGAGUUGCUUCUCUUGUUAGGUGUUGGAUGCCAUCUGUUCAAAUCCAAAUGCUCUUCUUCUCUUCCAUUGAUUGUGCUUAUUUAGUGUGGGGAGAAGAGAAUAACGUAGAAUCUUCCGCUGGCUGCCUUUGGACAAGGCCCAGGAAUGACACCUGGUACCGUUUUUUGAUGUUUCAUUUUUUUUUUUUUUCUGAUGGAGCGGUCUCAUCUGGGGAUUGUAGAUAGAUUGCACAUAUUUACCCAACGUGUGGAAGCUGGGUGAUCAUUUUACAAGAAAAUUCAUUUCACAGUGUCCCCAGAAAGUUCAUAUUUUAAAGGGUUAUUUUAUUCUAAACAAAGAAUGUCCUGCUUUGAUCUUGUGACACUGCCUGUCCUGUGCCUUCCUCAUCUGCUGUUUUACACUUGUCAAUCUUCUGCAUCUGAAAUGCACGUUCCCAGUCACAGUGUGUUGGAAAAGCACAUUUCAGUGAAAUAUUUUGGUGCCUUUCAGUGUUAGGGGUGCCAAGUGAAAUUGCACAUGCUGAGAAUAUUAGAACCUAACAAGGCCAGUCAGAAAAUGAUGUCAGAGGCCUUUGGUGGAAAUUGGGGGGAGGGGGUAUCUUAGGUUGGUUGGUUAGAAUAGUAAUGACUGGAAACCUAGUGUCAGGUGGGUGGGAGGGGGAGGGUCACUAAACAAGACCAGAAGAGACAAAACCUCCACUGUGACGGCAUCUGGAUUGUGCCAAAGAAAUGAACUGUUAAACUUUCCUGUUUCCGUGCCAGUUGUGGAGAAUAGAUUGCAAACCGACCAGCAUAGAACUUGGCCUGAGUCAGAAGUGGGCCAGUUACUAACACCACAAUGGGACAGCUUCACGAACAGUCUGAAAGCCCCACACUUCCCACCAAACCUUCAUAGAAAAGUAAACCUAGAGAAACCUACCAACAUUGUGAACAUUCCUAAGUGUCUGCCCUGUUAACUUUGAUGCUCAUUUGGUUAUUACUAGUGCAAACCCCCAUGUUUAUUUAGUAUUGCUUUUAAAGAGAAAGUAGUGAAAAUGUAAAUGUUUUCCAUCUUUACCUGGCUGGUCAAAAAUGAUCUUGUAAAAGUUAUUACUCAAAAGUAUAAAAAAAAAUGUUUUGGUAGCAGGUGUCUUUUCUGUUGAGUGCUUUGUGACUGCAAAGGCUGGAAGUUUUUCUGUACUGUCUUAUGAGUGCUUGAGCAUUAGAAUUUUAUAAUAUAAAAAGCAGAGUUCUUAAAUAAACUUGAUAUGACCAGAAGGGUAUGAGUUAGGAAAGUUUUGCUGUCAUGCUUCCUUCUGUUGUUCAGGAUAGAUUUGGUCAAGGAGUUUGUAUGGUUCUCAUGACAGGGAAAAGAAAGGUGUUUUGAAAGACAAGAAUAGAGGGAAAGAGGUAAAAUUAUUUUUUGUUGAAUUUAUCAUUUUUUUUUUUUAAUGCUAGUUUCUCUGUCAGACUAUGAAGACAUAGUUUUGUACUAGGUCAAUCGGAUGCCUAGAAGUAAUCAUGGUGUCACUAGUGUAACCUAAGAAAUUAGUGUGAAGGGAAUCUGGGGCUAGGGAGCACCUCAGUGUAAACAGAGGGGCUUUGAAAAUUAUUAUAAAAUUAGGAAGCUUUUCAUGCCCCCUCGGGAAAAUGGAAACUCAUUUUGCCAUUUAUUUAGACACAUCACUGGAGGGGAAGAUGGUGGGGGAAAUAACUACAACAAAAAAAAUUGUCACCCGAAUUAAUAACCACAUUUCACAAUUCAGAUUUUUCACCUGAGAGUCUGAGAGGAGGGAAGAAGUAUUGUGUGUGUCUGGAAAGUGGCUAAGGUCUUGUCAAUGGAGCACUGUAUUCUUGGUAACAAACCUCCUUGAAAAGAAGGAACGUUAAGCAUUCUAUUGAUAUUUUUCAGUGCACCUCUGUUGGAAAAACAGGACUCUUAAGUAAUUGCUUUAUUAAACUAUUUGGGUUUAUGUCUUUAACCACUUAAAUAGGAAGCUUGGUCACCUAAGCAAUUUAGUGAAGUAAAAGACAAAUAAAUUACAAACAGCUCCCCCUCUCCCAAGGCUUGAAACAAUAAAAUGUUUUUGCUAAACGAUUUUAUUAACUUACUGAGUUCAGCCCUUUCAGAUUGCUUAUGUAGAAUGUUUAAAUGCCAGUAUUUGGUUUCUCAGGUGAAACAGAGAAUUGCAGAAUUGUUUCUUCUACUUUCAAGCUCUAAGAGGUUGUAUUUUUAGGUGGUUAUAAAAGUUACUUUUUAAAACGGUUUGUGUAAAGCAGCUCCCACCUCAUCUCUUCCUGGUUAAUAAUACUUUGUUCUUCGCUAAUGAAAAAAAUUUUCUUUUCUUUGUUAUUUAACUUUUUGAUUUAGUAGCUAAUUUAUGAAUUUGUCUUUGGAGAGCUCCUAACAGUACAAGACUGAAUUCUUUGCAGUUACUCAGUAGAAUAUGUCUUGAGUCAUAAUGAGAGGGCUGAAAAAUUACCUUUAGCCCAGAGAACUUUAAAUUAUGAGAAUCUGCACAAAAGUCUAUCUCUGGUGAAUAUUUAACUUUCAAAUCUAGUGGAAGAAUUGUGUUUAUUACAGUUAAAUUUUCCAUUUCUUUUUAUCUUCGUUUAUGAGCAGUCUCAUAUUUUCAUCUGACAACUUAUACUUUAAUUAUAUUUUGGCUCAUUUUGGGGCUCUAGUAAUAAAUAUUUGUUUCUUAAGUACUUUUUCGUAAAAUACAACUAAAUGGUCUGGGUGCAAUUUUGAAAAGCAUGUCUUGCAAAGUAAUGCCUGUUUGGCCAUAAGCAUCCAGCUUUUAUAAGAAUGAUAUUUGAAUUUGUAGGUUAAAAAAAAUACACAUUUCUUACUGAAAAACUAAUUUUAGACUAAUUAGCAAGUGGCUUUGAACGAGUGAGGACUUAAAUUUAUGUAAAAAUUAUUCACAUUCUUUUGCAAUAUUGGUGGAAACUUAGUCGCCUUCAAAUAACCUUUUAAACAUUUAGUAAUUAACAGUUCCAUAAUUAGCUUUGCAUAUCUUGGCUGAGGUUCAAAAUGAAUGUUUCCAACUGCAGCGCUGUGUGGAGCCUGAACACUAAACACACACACACACACAACACACACCCACCCACCCACCCACCCCAAAACCUGGGUUUACAGAACACUAAACACACACACACACACACACACCCCCCCCCCCCAAAACCUGGGUUUACAGAACACUAAACACACACACACACACACACCCACCCACCCACCCCAAAACCAAAAAUUAAAAAAAAAAGAACUUCCUGAUUGUGAACUUGUUGCAGUUUUUUUCCCCUCUCCAGAAAGGACAAAAAUACAAACAAAAGCAGCUAUAGUCUCCUGUCAUUAUCAUUUUAUUUACUGUGUUUUACUACUUAAUAAGGGAGGGAUACAGUAUUACUCCAAAGCCCUGUUCUUGAAAUCAGAAAUUUCUUUGCUUCAUCAGAAAACUCACUAUGCUUCU